This 314-nucleotide long non-coding RNA is filed under the name Setaria viridis. RNAcentral describes it as "long non-coding RNA (SVIR_LNC010209)". Lineage: Eukaryota; Viridiplantae; Streptophyta; Magnoliopsida; Poales; Poaceae. The record is from RNAcentral.
GUGACAGAAGAUGCUGCCUAUGGACGGACAUACGAAAGAAAACAAAACUGAUGGCAAAACUAGCUUACUCAGAUGCACUCCUUUUUAGACCAAAAUAGAUUUCAUAUGCGUAGCAGGGAUUCUUGGAACAUCAUACUCAACUCACAUAAUCCAAGUACAGCAACUCCAAAAGGCAUAGGCCCAACAACAAGGCUUACAUCACUGAAUGCCAACUAACUCUAACUUUUAAGCGUGUUUAAAUGGCCAUCAGAUCACCAAAGUUGCGCAUCAGGAAAACGGAUCCAGCAAACAGACCCACAGCCUUUAGCAGCUUC